AUUGCCCCAGUAACGGCGAGUGAAGCGGCAACAGCUCAAAUUUGAAAUCUGGUCCUUGUGGCCCGAGUUGUAAUUUGUAGAGGAUGCUUUUGGUGCGGUGCCUUCCGAGUUCCCUGGAACGGGACGCCAUAGAGGGUGAGAGCCCCGUCUGGUUGGAUACCAAGCCUCUGUAAAGCUCCUUCGACGAGUCGAGUAGUUUGGGAAUGCUGCUCUAAAUGGGAGGUAUAUGUCUUCUAAAGCUAAAUAUUGGCCAGAGACCGAUAGCGCACAAGUAGAGUGAUCGAAAGAUGAAAAGCACUUUGAAAAGAGGGUUAAAUAGUACGUGAAAUUGUUGAAAGGGAAGCGUUUGUGACCAGACUUGGGCCCGGUUAAUCAUCCAGCGUUCUCGCUGGUGCACUUGGCCGGCCCAGGCCAGCAUCAGCUUUCGGCGGGGGAAAAAGGCGGCGGGAAUGUAGCUCCUCUGGAGUGUUAUAGACCGCCGCAUAAUACCCUGCUGGGGGCUGAGGUUCGCGCAUCUGCAAGGAUGCUGGCGUAAUGGUCAUCAACGACCCGUCUUGAAACACGGACCAAGGAGUCGUCUUCGUAUGCGAGUGUUCGGGUGUCAAACCCCUACGCGUAAUGAAAGUGAACGCAGGUGAGAGCUUCGGCGCAUCAUCGACCGAUCUUGAUGUUCUCGGAUGGAUUUGAGUAAGAGCAUACGGGGCCGGACCCGAAAGAAGGUGAACUAUGCCUGUAUAGGGUGAAGCCAGAGGAAACUCUGGUGGAGGCUCGCAGCGGUUCUGACGUGCAAAUCGAUCGUCAAAUAUGGGCAUGGGGGCGAAAGACUAAU
Molecule: ribosomal RNA, 829 nt
Filed under: Allantonectria miltina
Lineage: Eukaryota; Fungi; Ascomycota; Sordariomycetes; Hypocreales; Nectriaceae
Description: eukaryotic LSU rRNA
Rfam family: Eukaryotic large subunit ribosomal RNA
Source: RNAcentral